Molecule: long non-coding RNA, 1482 nt
Organism: Entelurus aequoreus (snake pipefish)
Lineage: Eukaryota; Metazoa; Chordata; Actinopteri; Syngnathiformes; Syngnathidae
Exons: 6
Source: RefSeq, a predicted model, not a curated record
GACUGCUAUACGGAUCCGCCUUCAAGUCGCCCAACCCGCGUUACUGUCACAUUCGUUUUGGCUCCGCCUAGAGGAUACAGCUCCGCCUCUGAAAAUUGUACGGUCAGACAGCUGAUCCUGAGCGGACUCGUGUCUGAUUCGCAUACGCGGACGCGACAAACUAAACCGGCGCGCGCCGCCUAGAGUUAUAGGCUCCGCCUACACGCGCUGAGCCGACCAAUGUCUGCACCCGCAGACGUGGACGCGCCUACUAGCGUGUACGCGCAUGAGCCAAGAUCUCUGGACUUUCUUUGCUGGAACACGAACGUAAGUAUAGAUUUAUUGAUUUAUUGCUACAUUCGCAGUAAAGAUCAGCCUUUGUGUUUCCAUCAUCAUUUAUGUAUGAUUGUAAUGACGUUGUUUGAUAUUAGGACUAGCAGUAAAACUUUAUAUUCUGUAAAAAAAGGCUAUUUUAUUUCCAGCGCCGCCUCCCAGAAUGCUUUGCAUGGGGACGUGCGUCUGACGUCACGUAUCCAGAAAAUUCAAAAUGGCUGCACGCGGUAGGUGAGGCCCGAGCGAAGAAAAGUGGAAAAGAGUGUUAUUCGUCAAAAAACCCACACAACGACGGUCAUUUUUUCGCCGUGCUAUUGUAAAAUUGUCUUUUAUCUGUGUUUUGUGUUCCGGGGGACCCCGACUCCAGAAUGUGAAAGUUUCCCGCGUGAAGCCGUGGAGCUCGAGAUCCUGUUUACUGUGGACUAGCUGUGUGUAAAGCCCUGUUGUUUUUGUUUCCAUUACAAAAAAAAAGCUCCACCGUCUCGCCGAGUGCCAGCAAGAGUCAUGAGUACUUGUCAACUCAACUCCUCAACUGGAGAUAACUUUCUAGCACCUCACCAUGGGGAAGGAUGUAUUCAUAUGCCUUCACCAGCACAUGCAUUAAACAUGCAGAGAGUUACACAAGUUCUUACCACCUUGGGGCACCAUUCAGGGUGCCUUUUCAUCUGAUUAAAUUUAUAAUGAACAGGGACAUUGCGGUUGUCCCAAGUGGAUGGUAUGAUGAUAGGAUGGUUUUCUGGCCCAGCUAUACAAACACCGACAGAAUUGAAAGGGCCGCUUUAAAUGCGGUGCAGCAUGAGCCAAACUGGCCAUGAUUUGAUGUUUCUGUUGUCUGAACUUGUGGUAUGCAAAUUCAUAAUCUUCUUGUUUAAAAAUAACGUCAUAGUUGCUUCUCUUUAUGCUUGGAAUAACCUAUUGUGUCUAUGUUCUGACCAGGUCUCUUGUAAGAGAGAGACCUGAUUUAUCAUGGCGUAGUGGGUAGAGCGCCCGUGUCAGAAACCUGAGGGUUGCAGGUUCGCUCCCCGCCUCUUACCAUGCCGUUGUGUCCUUGGGCAGGACACUUCACCCUUGCCCCCGGUGCCGCUCACACCGGUGAAUGAAUGAUACGUGGUGGUCGGAGGAGCCGUAGGCGCAAAUUGGCAGCCACGCUUCCGUCAGUCUACCCCAGGG